Molecule: non-coding RNA, 394 nt
Organism: Cinara cedri
Lineage: Eukaryota; Metazoa; Arthropoda; Insecta; Hemiptera; Aphididae
Source: the annotation of a GenBank genome assembly
AUUAAAAUAUAUUAAUUGUCAAGUCAUUUAAUUUUCAUUAGAUAUAAUUUUUCAGUUCUAAGAUUAAAACUAAAAUUGGGGAUGGGAGCGGCUACUAUUGUAGGCUAGAAGUUGGGAUGGGAAAACAUAAGGUUAUUUCAUUUAUAUCUGUAAGCAACGAUAAACCAUUGCUUAACGAAAGACGAUUCCGAGCGCAGUUCGGUAAUACAUAAUUUGAAGUGAUGUAAUUUUUUUUGCGAUUUUCGUUUAAAUAUAGAAUAGAAGUUAUUUAUUAAAUAAACUUUUUUUAAGUUACUCCAUUAUAAAAUAAUCACCAAUUAUUAUUAAAUUAAUAAAAUGCAAUAAAACAAUUACAAGAAUUUCAAUUUUUUUUCUGUGAUAAAAAUAUAAAAUA